Molecule: ribosomal RNA, 251 nt
Filed under: uncultured Prevotella sp.
Lineage: Bacteria; Pseudomonadati; Bacteroidota; Bacteroidia; Bacteroidales; Prevotellaceae
Description: partial 16S ribosomal RNA
Rfam family: Bacterial small subunit ribosomal RNA
Source: RNAcentral
GAGUAACGCGUAUCCAACCUUCCCACUUAUUGUGGGAGUAACCUGCCGAAAGGCAGACUAAUACCGCAUAGUCUUCGAUGACGGCAUCAGAUUUGAAGUAAAGAUUUAUCGGUAAUGGAUGGGGAUGCGUCUGAUUAGCUUGUUGGCGGGGUAACGGCCCACCAAGGCGACGAUCAGUAGGGGGUUCUGAGAGGAAGGUCCCCCACAUUGGAACUGAGACACGGUCCAAACUCCUACGGGAGGCAGCAGAG